UGCAAAGUCUUUAUUUUUCCGCUGCCAUAUAUUUUGACUAGCAUGUGUAGGGUGUACUAGACUUGUUAGUAUUGCUAAAAUCUGUCAACCAUAAAAUUGGGAAAAUGCUACGAUUUUAAUCUUGUCAAGUAGUCUAGUCACCCCCUCUAGACACACCUUCUAACGAUCCUACAAUGGGUACAACUCUGAACAUCUCCUAGUUCUUAAAGAUUGGUACUAAUAUACUCCGUCUUCAUUCUUCU
Molecule: long non-coding RNA, 242 nt
Filed under: Hordeum vulgare
Lineage: Eukaryota; Viridiplantae; Streptophyta; Magnoliopsida; Poales; Poaceae
Description: long non-coding RNA (HVUL_LNC012843)
Source: RNAcentral